RNAcentral lists this ribosomal RNA (345 nucleotides) under Triticum aestivum (bread wheat). RNAcentral describes it as "partial small subunit ribosomal RNA". The record is from RNAcentral. Lineage: Eukaryota; Viridiplantae; Streptophyta; Magnoliopsida; Poales; Poaceae.
AUGCUUGGGGACAGCAAGAACUGUUGCUUUCAGAGCAGGCAGGCACAGAAGAAGAAAAUCCCAAAGGAAAGAGUUGGAUCCUCACACUUGGAUAUGGCAGUUGAAGACUUUGGAUCAAACCCGAUGAUCAAUGUCAACAUCGGUACAAAGAUCCCGCCACCACCAACACCUCCAACGCUCCCAAAUGACGCGCCAAAGAAUCCGAUCAGCGACCCCAGCACCAUUUUCCAUCCAAACUCCAUUGGCUACCACAUCCAGAAAAUCCACCAAAUUAGCACCACACAUCCGAAAAAGAAGAGGUACAGAGAUAUACUGAAAAAGUAUCACACACAAAGAUGUACGUAG